RNAcentral lists this ribosomal RNA (392 nucleotides) under uncultured bacterium. RNAcentral's name for it is "partial 16S ribosomal RNA". It matches the Rfam family "Bacterial small subunit ribosomal RNA", at positions 523 to 918 of the family's 1533-position model. The record is from RNAcentral.
AUACGGAGGAUCCGAGCGUUAUCCGGAUUUAUUGGGAUUAAAGGGUGCGCAGGCGGCCAUUUAAGUCAGCGGUUAAAUCGUGGGGCUCAACCCCAUUCUGCCGUUGAUACUGGGUGGCUUGAUUGCGGUCGAGGUUGGCGGAAUUAGUUGUGUAGCGGUGAAAUGCAUAGAUAUGACGAAGAACACCGAUUGCGUAGGCAGCUGACCAGACCGCAAAUGACGCUCAUGCACGAAAGUGCGGGGAUCGAACAGGAUUAGAUACCCUGGUAGUCCGCACAGUAAACGAUGAAUACUUGUUUUCGGCGAUAUAAUGUCGGAGGCAAAGCGAAAGCGAUAAGUAUUCCACCUGGGGAGUACGCCGGCAACGGUGAAACUCAAAUGAAUUGGCGGGG